AUCUCUAUCUCUAUCUCUCUCUCUCUCUCUCGAAAAGCAAGGGAAAGAAAAAGCGAUGGCUUCCAACCAGGAAGCUGGGAAAGAGAUGGAAUUAGCAGUGAAGCCGCAAGAACUGCUUCUUCAUCCUCCCAGGCGCGGGCGCGUAAAGCGUCUCAUGUUAGCCUAUUUGGUCCGAAGGUUUAAAGCCCUUGUUGGUAAAACGUCAUGCUCUGCUCCCGGCAGCAACGCAACGUACAUUCCCCCGUAAAGUCACAAGUGCCUUCUCUUACCUUCGAUUACGUGCUGGGGUCGUGAACAAAAUCAUCCUGGAUCGCGGUGUAGUGUACGUCUGUGGUUGUGUUCUGCUUGAGCAGUUGUAGUAGUGUCUGAGCUGGAAAAUGGCUGAGUGUUUUCAGGCUGAUGUUCUGUUCUCCCAUCCUAUAUGUGUCUCCG
RNAcentral lists this long non-coding RNA (432 nucleotides) under Eucalyptus grandis. Its description in RNAcentral is "long non-coding RNA (EGRA_LNC005937)". The record is from RNAcentral. Lineage: Eukaryota; Viridiplantae; Streptophyta; Magnoliopsida; Myrtales; Myrtaceae.